UUGGUCAAAGGGAAUUGUCUUUUAUUCAAUAUAAUACUGAGGUUUCUAGGAAAGAGCUAGCUAUAAAUAUCAUGAUGGAAGAUCACUCCGUCAAUCGAUUUCCACCACUGGCUCCUCCAGUCACCACUGUUGAUGGUUAAGACGAAAUAGAUUCGUCGUUCUCGAGUGCAGAGACCGAGACCAUCCGUCCUCGAUGAGUGGCAAAACUUGGAAGAGAUGGAUCUGAGGAAGAACGAAAGAGAUGACGGCACCGCGCCGCUUUCCAAAAAAUAAAAAAUAAAAAAUAAAUCAAUAUGUGAAAUACCUAAACUACCAUUUAUAGCUACCCCU
Molecule: long non-coding RNA, 330 nt
Filed under: Linum usitatissimum (flax)
Lineage: Eukaryota; Viridiplantae; Streptophyta; Magnoliopsida; Malpighiales; Linaceae
Description: long non-coding RNA (LUSI_LNC004933)
Source: RNAcentral